This 342-nucleotide ribosomal RNA is filed under the name Proasellus cantabricus. RNAcentral's name for it is "partial 16S ribosomal RNA". It matches the Rfam family "Bacterial large subunit ribosomal RNA", at positions 2048 to 2597 of the family's 2925-position model. Lineage: Eukaryota; Metazoa; Arthropoda; Malacostraca; Isopoda; Asellidae. The record is from RNAcentral.
GCUUUUGGGCUAUAAUAUGAAAUUGACAUAAAGAUCAAARGGUCUUUAUGGCUCAAAGGGACGAUAANACCCUAUAAAACUUUACUAUGAAGCUWGUUAUAUWGACAKACUUAAAUAUUUAUAKUUUAGSKGGGGSGGCUUUUAUAAAAACAAUUAUAAUAUAAAUAUAUUUAAUAAAGGUUUANAACUCCUGCAGGAAAUGAUUAAGUUACUUUAGGGAUAACAGCAUAAUUCUCCCAGAGAGUCCUUAUUGGCGGGUGAGCUUAUGACCUCGAUGUUGAAUUGGGGUGUCUAGUGUAARCARAARUAUAUUAAGAUAGUCUGUUCGACUGUUGAAUCCCC